Molecule: long non-coding RNA, 689 nt
Filed under: Anneissia japonica
Lineage: Eukaryota; Metazoa; Echinodermata; Crinoidea; Comatulida; Comatulidae
Description: uncharacterized LOC117123144, transcript variant X1
Source: RNAcentral
AACGGUCUUCAUCGACGUCUCUCUCGCUUGCUGCACCCUUUGUUGUUGUGAUGUCCUCCUUUUGUUCAGUAAUAAUUGGGGUAAUAAUCGCAAACUGAUAUUUUAUUGAAAUGGUUAAUACCUGUAGCAAUGUCUAUGUACUAGUUAAAUGGACGUUCUUCCGUUGAAACUCAACCUAGCCUAGGAUAGCCGCUAGGCCUAUUCUGUUGCCAUUUGGAAAAAAAGAAGAGUCCGCAACAUGCCAAAGUCUCUAGGCCUAUGCAGAGUCAGUAUUAUGAAAAGGACCAGCUCAUAGCCAUCACUCAGAUAAGCAAUGGGGCACGAGGCAAAUUCAAAAUUUGUUUGUUAUUGUUUCCGAUGCAUGAAGUGGUAGGGAAAUACAAGAUAGGGAAGAAAAGCAAGGCACAUGUGGAACAUCGGUAGAGAAAGAGCGUUUGGAUCCCAUCUGAAUUACUGCCAUAACAGAUUUCCUGAGGCUUAAACUACUCUUUUGAAGCAGUCUCUGCCAAACAGAAUAAAGAAAAUAAACAAGCCUAAAAAUUGGGAAUACCAUGUAUGCAUUUUUGUUUUUAAAUUUGUUAUUUAACUUUAAUUCCAAACUUCGUUUUAUUAGAUUUGUGUAGUAUUUUAUUAUAUUUGAUGUUUCAGUGUGUAGGCCGUCUUAAAGUUAGGUUCAGAAAAGUUGUUUU